This is a long non-coding RNA of Oncorhynchus gorbuscha (pink salmon), 1028 nucleotides long. RefSeq lists it as uncharacterized. The transcript is spliced from 2 exons. The record is from RefSeq and is a predicted model, not a curated record. NCBI's taxonomy places the organism in Eukaryota, Metazoa, Chordata, Actinopteri, Salmoniformes, Salmonidae.
UGUGAUGUUUUUCUCCACAGGGGCACAGAUACUUUCUUCAGAAAUACGCCAGUGUCCGGUCUGAAUGUAGCUCUCCGCUCGAGCGGAGUGAGGGAAUAGAAACCAGGUGUGUGAAAAAACAAAUCAAAACCAAUGGAAAAUGAAAAGUGGAUCGACGAUGGCGAGCGCCGCAAGAACAAGGAGAGGACCCGACUUCGGCGGAUGUCGUGACAUGCGCAAUGUAUCUGCUUAAUAUGCUUCCUCUCCUGCAUACAUUUGUCAGAGAAACGGUAACCACUAUUACUUUGCUACUCAGUAUGACCGUGGCAGGAGGAUCCCUCUGUACUCUUGUCUAUGAAAUGGAUAUCAAAGGGGUUCCUGGCGGAGAUGGGUCCAUAGUUUAUUAUGAACCACAGUUUAUGCGUCCUGACCUAACACUACAGCAAAUGGAUAAGAAAGGAUCCUUGAGUGAGAUCAAAAAAUACUACAACCAAAACAAUGGCUGCAGAGAAAGCUCUCCACAAUACCGACAGAACUAAAGCAUGUGGGUAGACCAGAACGAGCAAGUCAAUGUUCCGAGUUACUACUGGAAUGCCUACUGCUGCACUAUAACAAGAACCGCAACUCUCUCAUGUCUGGAGGUGCCUUGAGAAAUAACAGCUCAGGGUGUUAAAGAUGAUCUUAACUCUGACACUGCUUCGAGGGCUACUGAGUGUUGGCAACAAUUUCAUAUUCCAUUAUGAUCUGGUAUGAUUUUGAAUUCAUGCUUAGAUUCAUACAUGGUUUGGCGGGGAAUUCCCAAGGAGAUGUUUGAAAAUUAGCCACGUUAGCUACAUCAGCAUUUUUAAACAUAUCCCUGACCAUAAAUAUUAUCCUAUUGAUCAAAUUUGUGGUUAAAAUGUAUUACAAAUUCAAAACGUAUCCUUUGUGGUAAUUAUUCGUAAAGCGUAUGUUUGUUUGUUUGGUCACACAGAGUUGUGCAACCAAGUCUUUGUGAAUGCUUGUUGCUAUGAAUCUAUAACCCAAUAAAGCUUGUUUUGUGAAAAUAG